UGGGCAGUAUCAAAUUAGAGCUGCACCCAAAAAUGCUCGGCCAAACAAAAAAAAUUUCUGCCUUGAUCCAUUGAAAUGGACGGGGACGGAGGG
Molecule: regulatory RNA element, 93 nt
Rfam family: pan motif
Source: Rfam